UGCAUGAAGCCGGAAUUGCUAGUAAUGGCAGGUCAGCAUACUGCCGUGAAUACGUUCCCGGGCCUUGUACACACCGCCCGUCACACCAUGAGAGUUGGGGAUACCCAAAGCCCGUGAGCCAACUUUUUAAGAGGCAGCGGUCUAAGGUAGAAUCAAUGAUUGGGGUGAAGUCGUAACAAGGUAGC
This 185-nucleotide ribosomal RNA is filed under the name uncultured bacterium. RNAcentral describes it as "partial 16S ribosomal RNA". It matches the Rfam family "Bacterial small subunit ribosomal RNA", at positions 1317 to 1500 of the family's 1533-position model. The record is from RNAcentral.